RNAcentral lists this ribosomal RNA (254 nucleotides) under uncultured bacterium. RNAcentral describes it as "partial 16S ribosomal RNA". It matches the Rfam family "Bacterial small subunit ribosomal RNA", at positions 524 to 776 of the family's 1533-position model. The record is from RNAcentral.
GACAGAGGUGGCGAGCGUUGUCCGGAUUCACUGGGCGUAAAGGGCGUGUAGGCGGUCUUGCAAGUCGGUCGUGAAAGGCGCCAGCUCAACUGGAGCAGAGCGACCGAGACGGCAGGGCUUCGAGCAUGGAAGAGGAAAGUGGAAUUCCCGGUGUAGCAGUGAAAUGCGUAGAUAUCGGGAAGAACACCAAUGGCGAAGGCGACUUUCUGGUCCAUUGCUGACGCUGAGGCGCGAAAGCCAGGGGAGCGAACGGG